CUCCUGGGUGUAGGAGGCUGCAGCCGCGCUGUGCCCAAGCGCGCAGGGUCCUGGGCAGGCGGUGUCACCUCCCGGCGUGCCCUGGCAGGGCUCAGCCUGGCCCGGGCCAGUUCUCAGCUCACCCUCUGCUCUUCCCCUGCAGGUGGCCCUGGCCGGAGGCUGGCGCUGCCCGGGAGCCGGUGCGGGUCGUGGGCUCCCACAUGUGUGUGCACGGGUGAUUGCUGCAAAACUCGUGUCUCUUGCUUGUCUCCCAGAUGGUGACAUUUGCCUGCAGCCCUUCCUGCUGACAGUUACCUGUCAGAUUUUGGCUACAGAAGAGCGAGGAGGUGGUGGUGGCACAGGCCCUCUCUGUGAUGCUGCUUGGAGUGGCAGGGAGGGAGCCUGCAGGAUGCCGCCAACCAUUCCCUCGACCCCAGUAAGAACGAAGCUGGCAAGGAACAACCACUGCCUUUGUCAUGCCUCUUGUGAACCGCCAUUCAGCCAGGGAAACAAUGCUUAAGCUGUGCUCCGUUUGCUUUGUAACUUCUUCCCUGCUGUGUGUUGUUCACAGCAAAACCCAGGUCCCUGCGAGGGGAUGCAGGCAAGUGGGUGAGCUGGGCAGGACACUGCACACUGCUGUCAUAUUCCGCAACACUUGGUGACCGCAUCUGAAUGAAGAGAAAUUGGGGUAAUGUUUGCUAAGCUGCUCUGCUGGACAGAAUUAAGUCCAGCAUUUGUCAGUGCAAUUCGUCAUCCAAGUAUCUGCACAGAUCCACCACAGCUCCUGGUGUCUCAGGUGUCAGCUGCGGCACGGAAAAUCCUCUUUCAUCACUCGUGUCGGAUUCCAGAUGAAAACUCAUUAAAGGCAACCAUUUCCACCACCCCGUGCUAUUGCCAGGCACUCACCUGUCACUUGCAUCCUAUUACUGCAAGCAUGGGAUAAUUUGUACCAAAGUUUGGGAUCAAAAUAAAUGGUUUUAAACCAGCUAAUUCUGUAGCUCUUCCUUUGUGUCCAGUGCAGCCUCACCCGCCUGUGCCUUGCUGUCUGUCACUGAUGGUAGUGGCACCUGCUGCAUCUCUGAGUGUUGCCUGCUCUGGGAAAUGGCCUUGCCCAACCACCAAUCCCAAAUCCACUCCCUGCCAUCACCAGGACAUUGGCAUCGAUUUGUAUGUCCAGUGUGAUGAUAAGCCAGGCUGCCCAGCCUUUUCUACUCAUCUUCUGCACAUGCUUGGGGCUGAACCAGACACCAGAAGCUAAACUCAUCGUGUUGAGAAUGGAGCUGCAUCCACUCUGCUCUGCCACCUUUCAGCCCUGCUCUCACAGGGCUUCCCCAGCUCUGUCUGCCCGACGCCAUGGGUAACUUCCCAAAGCUGGAUCCUCAACUGCCUUCAUGUCUGCAGAGGCUUGUUAGUCAUUUCCCACUUAUAAACAAAUGUUUUGGAGACACUGGAGAAGCUGGGCCACCAAGGGGACAAAGCUCCAUUGCUUUUAGAGUAGCUCAUUCAUCACUGAGUUUUAUUGUGCAGCAGUUCAGCCACUGAUGAAUUGAAGCCACCCUCUGCUUGUGGUACAGGGAACAGGAAAUGUGCUUCUCAUGCAGGCCACUUUUUAAAUCUUCAGUUUGGUUUCCAUCUUAAAGGUGUUGCAGACGAGAUGGGUUUGUUAUGAACUUUUAUGGCUUUAUUUUACUAUUUAGAAAAAGACUUUUCAUUUGCUUAUUUGUUUAAAACUUAUUUUUCCCCUUUCUUUGCAGCAAAGCCUGGGUUUGCUUCAUUGUUUUUCCACUGAUGAACCCAUACUGUUUCAAGACCUUUCCUUCUUCCUUACAUC
Pezoporus flaviventris is the source of this 1810-nucleotide long non-coding RNA. RefSeq lists it as uncharacterized. Lineage: Eukaryota; Metazoa; Chordata; Aves; Psittaciformes; Psittacidae. The transcript has 3 exons. The record is from RefSeq and is a predicted model, not a curated record.